CAGCAGACACAUUCCAGCCAAUCAGCAGCAGACCCUCCCUCCCACCUCCUGGACAGCAUCCAUUUUGAAGCUGCAUUCUUAGUGAGCUGUCCAGGAGGUGGGAGGGUAGGGGAGGGAGGGUCUGCUGCUGAUUGGCUGGAAUGUGUCUGCUA
RNAcentral lists this microRNA precursor (152 nucleotides) under Pelobates cultripes (western spadefoot toad). The record is from RNAcentral. Lineage: Eukaryota; Metazoa; Chordata; Amphibia; Anura; Pelobatidae.